RNAcentral lists this long non-coding RNA (1066 nucleotides) under Amazona collaria (yellow-billed parrot). RNAcentral's name for it is "lncRNA (ENSACOG00000006895.1)". The record is from RNAcentral. Lineage: Eukaryota; Metazoa; Chordata; Aves; Psittaciformes; Psittacidae.
AGGGAAGCAACCCGGGCAAAACCCGGCUUAAGUAACAGCAAAGCUAUUCUUAGGCUGCCCAUCUUCCUGUCUUCUGAGGCUUGUGGGACCUCAUUUAUGGAGUGCAAGGCAUCAGGGUGGGUUAUUUUGGGCUCUUGGAAAGGACGUGGGGCUGGGCCCAGAGCAGAGUAAAGACAGCUCCAGGGAAAGCUCAGCUCCAGCACCUCACCCCUCAUACCAUGGGAUCCUGACUUUCUUGGGCUAAGGUCCUAAGGACCUAGAACUAAGUCAAUUACCUCAAGCUCUCAGUUAUUUUCCAUUACCAAGCCACCAGACUUUACAUCACUUCGAACUGAUUGCCUUUGGUGCCUCCUUGUCUCAUUGGAGUCCUCCUCUCCAGCCUUGGGUGGCAGAAAUGUUUUGGGCAAUGAAUUGACAGCUACAUUGAGAAAACGAUGCUGAGUGCGUCCAUGAUGGAAUUGUGUUGGCAUUUCCAAGCUAAUAUGGAUUACAGUGAGGUGUGAAGUUAUUCUGAAAUACCUGUUGCACUUGCUGUUGGAUCAGUCUUAUUCUGGGAUGGGAAUGCUUGUUCCAAUUUAGCUUAAUCCUUUCCAAAGCUAACUAAUGUAAAGCAGGCCAAGGCACUCCUGGCACGUGCCAAAGUGUAGUUACUCAGAAGAAACCUGAUGUGCAGGGGAGCCCUUCAUCAGUUCCUCUGUGAGGAUGUGGCUGUGCUGCUCUGUGCGGUCUGUGUGGUGCUGUGAGAGGAGCAGCCCUGGAAGAGCAUGAAGAUUUUACUCACUUUUACCAAAGGGAUCUGGGCUGGUUUGGAACGGAGAGGACCAAAUCCUCCUCUUCCUCCUUAGCACCAGUGGGGUGUGAGCAGCUCUUGUGAACCAGGAGAAAGCUGACCCUGUGGGACUGGGGUGAGGGUUCCCUGGCUGGCUCUGUGUGAUGCUCUGCAGACCCUCGUGUCGACACAGAGGGUGAUGAUGUGGGGAGAGCAGGGUGAUGCUUGACAUCCGCACUGGAGCUAUGUGGGGUUACAGUGUGUAACCAGGGUGGUGAACGCACACGGUGUCUGCUC